Non-coding RNA from Planktothrix agardhii NIVA-CYA 126/8, 242 nucleotides. It matches the Rfam family "HNH endonuclease-associated RNA and ORF (HEARO) RNA". The record is from Rfam. Lineage: Bacteria; Bacillati; Cyanobacteriota; Cyanophyceae; Oscillatoriales; Microcoleaceae.
GUCAGCACCCCGCGCUGAAGCGACGGGGCUUCAUGCCUCACCGACCGUAUUAGCUGACCAGCCUAAGUCUUAACUGACUACGUUUUUUGAGUCAAGACACCCUGCGGAUGCGCGAGCCGCGUCCCUGGCUCUGUCGUUAGUGGUUAAACAUCUUUAUCGGGUUAAGGAAGUGCUGCUAACCUAACAAGCUCUUAAAACAUUGGCGUUCGCGUAGCGUGUGCGAAGCACUCAGCUAACUUUAC